AGCGAACGCUGGCGGCAGGCUUAACACAUGCAAGUCGAGCGGGCACUUCGGUGUCAGCGGCAGACGGGUGAGUAACACGUGGGAACGUACCCUUCGGUUCGGAAUAACGCUGGGAAACUAGCGCUAAUACCGGAUACGCCCUUUUGGGGAAAGGUUUACUGCCGAAGGAUCGGCCCGCGUCUGAUUAGCUAGUUGGUGGGGUAAUGGCCUACCAAGGCGACGAUCAGUAGCUGGUCUGAGAGGAUGAUCAGCCACACUGGGACUGAGACACGGCCCAGACUCCUACGGGAGGCAGCAGUGGGGAAUAUUGGACAAUGGGCGUAAGCCUGAUCCAGCCAUGCCGCGUGAGUGAUGAAGGCCUUAGGGUUGUAAAGCUCUUUUGUCCGGGACGAUAAUGACGGUACCGGAAGAAUAAGCCCCGGCUAACUUCGUG
This 433-nucleotide ribosomal RNA is filed under the name uncultured bacterium. RNAcentral's name for it is "partial 16S ribosomal RNA". It matches the Rfam family "Bacterial small subunit ribosomal RNA", at positions 29 to 507 of the family's 1533-position model. The record is from RNAcentral.